AUUGAACGCUGGCGGCAGGCCUAACACAUGCAAGUCGAACGAGUGGCGGACGGGUGAGUAAUGUCUGGGAAACUGCCCGAUGGAGGGGGAUAACUACUGGAAACGGUAGCUAAUACCGCAUACCAUCGGAUGUGCCCAGAUGGGAUUAGCUAGUAGGUGGGGUAACGGCUCACCUAGGCGACGAUCCCUAGCUGGUCUGAGAGGAUGACCAGCCCAACGGGAACUGGGACACGGGCCAGACUCCUACGGGAGGCAGCAGUGGAGAAGAGUGCACGAUGGGGGCAAGCCUGAAGCAGCCAUGCCGGGUGUAUGAAGAAGGCCUUCGGGUUGGAGAGUACUUGCAGCGGGGAGGCGUUACCCGCAGAAGAAGCACCGGCUAACUCCGUGCCAGCAGCCGCGGUAAUU
This 405-nucleotide ribosomal RNA is filed under the name uncultured bacterium. RNAcentral's name for it is "partial 16S ribosomal RNA". It matches the Rfam family "Bacterial small subunit ribosomal RNA", at positions 29 to 525 of the family's 1533-position model. The record is from RNAcentral.